This 27-nucleotide non-coding RNA is filed under the name Homo sapiens (human). Lineage: Eukaryota; Metazoa; Chordata; Mammalia; Primates; Hominidae. The record is from RNAcentral.
GAACAGGUGAGUGCUGUGAGCCAGCUC